Molecule: long non-coding RNA, 742 nt
Organism: Gossypium raimondii (Peruvian cotton)
Lineage: Eukaryota; Viridiplantae; Streptophyta; Magnoliopsida; Malvales; Malvaceae
Exons: 2
Source: RefSeq, a predicted model, not a curated record
GGUGAUUUGAGAGGAGCUCAAUAGUGGCGAAUUUGCGCACUUGACGCCAAUAAGGUCCAUACGGUGCAAAGGCUAUCAUGGCAGAGUUGUAACCCAAAAUUUCCCAGCUUGCAAGCUUUGGACGAGUGGCAAACGCUUUAUCGUUUAUGGUUACCCAAGCUUAUAUGAGGUGGUUGUGGCCCUCCUAAGAGGCGGAGAUGACCAAUAAUAGGCCAUGCUCCACCAGCUUCUGGUGCUGUUUUCUUCAAGUUUGUGUUUCUUCUUGAGAUCCAUAGGAAAGAGAAAAGAAACAGUAGUGGAAAAGUAAUGAUUGCAACAGUUGAUGUUACUGUGACUGAAUGAAAAUAAUCCAUUUCUGGAUUCUUACUUUAAUCUAAGAUCUAUACGCAAUAGCAGAGAUGAGAGAGUUGGAUUUAUAGGGUUAAUUUAAUGUCACCGCAGCGCAGGGGUAUCAUCAUUCACCAUUUAUUCAACCGAUAGCAUCCCUAUUUGCCUUUUAACUUAUGGUUCAGAAGGUAAUAAAUUCUCUCUAUGAAUUUUGGGUCUCGUUGUGGAAAACAGUGUAUUGACCUAGGAAAUUCAUAGAUCUAUAUGCGGGAGUUGGAUUUAUAGGGUUAAAUAAUGUCACAGCAUCGCCUAUCAUUAUUGACCACUCUUUCAACCGAUAGCAUUUUUUUUUUGUCUUUUAAUAUAAGGUUGGAAAGAAAGAUAUAUAUAUAUUCUCUUUUCAUUUUGUCUCCCA